UACGGGAGGCAGCAGUAAGGAAUAUUGCGCAAUGGGCGAAAGCCUGACGCAGCGACGCCGCGUGGGGGAUGAAGGUCUUCGGAUUGUAAACCCCUUUCGGGAGGGAAGAUGGAGCGAGCAAUCGUUCGGACGGUACCUCCAGAAGCAGCCACGGCCAACUUCGUGCCAGCAGCCGCGGUAAUACGAAGGUGGCAAGCGUUGUUCGGAUUCACUGGGCGUACAGGGUGUGUAGGCGGUUUGGUAAGCCUUCUGUUAAAGCUUCGGGCCCAACCCGGAAAGCGCAGAGGGUACUGCCAGGCUAGAGGGUGGGAGAGGAGCGCGGAAUUCCCGGUGUAGCGGUGAAAUGCGUAGAGAUCGGGAGGAAGGCCGGUGGCGAAGGCGGCGCUCUGGAACAUACCUGACGCUGAGACACGAAAGCGUGGGGAGCAAACAGGAUUAGAUACCCUGGUAGUCCACGCCCUAAACUAUGGAUACUAAGUGUCGGCGGGUUACCGCCGGUGCCGCAGCUAACGCA
This 514-nucleotide ribosomal RNA is filed under the name uncultured Nitrospira sp. RNAcentral describes it as "bacterial SSU rRNA". It matches the Rfam family "Bacterial small subunit ribosomal RNA", at positions 340 to 859 of the family's 1533-position model. Lineage: Bacteria; Pseudomonadati; Nitrospirota; Nitrospiria; Nitrospirales; Nitrospiraceae. The record is from RNAcentral.